Long non-coding RNA from Bombina bombina (fire-bellied toad), 630 nucleotides. RefSeq lists it as uncharacterized. NCBI's taxonomy places the organism in Eukaryota, Metazoa, Chordata, Amphibia, Anura, Bombinatoridae. The record is from RefSeq and is a predicted model, not a curated record. The transcript is spliced from 3 exons.
GUUUUUUUUAAUAAUAACUGCUGCUGCUGCUGAGUGUUGGUACAAUUUUCUCAAAGACAUUUUCCAUCUCUGAAAGGAUCCUUUCAGAAUUCUAAAUCCGGCCCUUAUUUGACUGUGUAUUUAAUAAUUGCUGCUUUUGCUGCUGCUGAGAGUUGGUACAAUUUUAUAAAAGGCAUUUUCCAUCACUGAAAGGUUCCUUUCUGAUUUAUAAGUCUGUGCUUUGUUUGUCUGUGUAUUUAAAAAAUUGAGGAGCACUGACUACAAGUGCUUCGUUUCUGUACUGCUGGAGUUUUCGUUUCUGUACUGCUGGAGUUGUGCUGAGAACAGGAUCCUUUCUGAUUUCUAAGUCUGGCCUUUGUUUGUCUGUGUAUUUACAAAAUUAAGGAGCACCAACUAGUCUACAAAUGCUUCAUUUCUGUACUGCUGGAGUUGUGCUAGAAACGGGAAGAUACUUUCAGAUUUGCUAAAUCUGGCCUUUGUUUGACUGUUUAUUUACAAAUUUAAGAGCAACAAUUACAAAUGCUUUGUUUAUGGACUACAAAUUAAUCUACAGACUGCUGAUGGAACUGAGCUGAAAACAAAUCAGUUUCUGUAUUUUUCGAAAAAUGCUGCUUACUGCUGCUGCUGACA